UGCUAUCAUGCAAGUCGAGCGACUGAUUAGAAGCUUGCUUCUAUGACGUUAGCGGCGGACUUAGCGGCGGACGGGUGAGUAACACGUGGGCAACCUGCCUGUAAGACUGGGAUAACUUCGGGAAACCGAAGCUAAUACCGGAUAGGAUCUUCUCCUUCAUGGGAGAUGAUUGAAAGAUGGUUUCGGCUAUCACUUACAGAUGGGCCCGCGGUGCAUUAGCUAGUUGGUGAGGUAACGGCUCACCAAGGCAACGAUGCAUAGCCGACCUGAGAGGGUGAUCGGCCACACUGGGACUGAGACACGGCCCAGACUCCUACGGGAGGCAGCAGUAGGGAAUCUUCCGCAAUGGACGAAAGUCUGACGGAGCAACGCCGCGUGAGUGAUGAAGGCUUUCGGGUCGUAAAACUCUGUUGUUAGGGAAGAACAAGUACGAGAGUAACUGCUCGUACCUUGACGGUACCUAACCAGAAAGCCACGGCUAACUACGUGCCAGCAGCCGCGGUAAUACGUAGGUGGCAAGCGUUAUCCGGAAUUAUUGGGCGUAAAGCGCGCGCAGGCGGUUUCUUAAGUCUGAUGUGAAAGCCCACGGCUCAACCGUGGAGGGUCAUUGGAAACUGGGGAACUUGAGUGCAGAAGAGAAAAGCGGAAUUCCACGUGUAG
RNAcentral lists this ribosomal RNA (660 nucleotides) under Priestia aryabhattai. RNAcentral describes it as "bacterial SSU rRNA". It matches the Rfam family "Bacterial small subunit ribosomal RNA", at positions 45 to 678 of the family's 1533-position model. The record is from RNAcentral. Lineage: Bacteria; Bacillati; Bacillota; Bacilli; Caryophanales; Bacillaceae.